RNAcentral lists this transfer RNA (59 nucleotides) under Dendrocerus sp. ZJUH_2016009. Its description in RNAcentral is "tRNA-Ser". The record is from RNAcentral. Lineage: Eukaryota; Metazoa; Arthropoda; Insecta; Hymenoptera; Megaspilidae.
GAAGUAUAAUUAAAAGAACUUCUAAUUCUUCCAAUAAUAAUGUAAUUAUUAAUAUUUCU